This 564-nucleotide ribosomal RNA is filed under the name uncultured bacterium. Its description in RNAcentral is "bacterial SSU rRNA". It matches the Rfam family "Bacterial small subunit ribosomal RNA", at positions 338 to 916 of the family's 1533-position model. The record is from RNAcentral.
CCUACGGGAGGCAGCAGUGAGGGAUAUUGCACAAUGGACGAAAGUCUGAUGCAGCGACGCCGCGUGGGCGAAGAAGGUUUUCGGAUCGUAAAGCCCUUUUCUAUGUGACGAGAUAGGACGGUAGCAUAGGAAUAAGUGUCGGCUAACUACGUGCCAGCAGCCGCGGUAAAACGUAGGACGCAAACGUUAUCCGGAGUUACUGGGCGUAAAGCGCGCGCAGGCGGUCGAGUAAGUUGCCUAUGAAAGCUUCCGGCCAAACCGGAAGAGGCUAGGUGAAACUGCCCGGCUAGAGAGAGACAGAGGGAAGUAGAAUUCCGGGUGUAGUGGUGAAAUGCGUAGAUAUCCGGAGGAAUACCAGUGGCGAAGGCGGCUUCCUGGGUCUCAGCUGACGCUGAUGCGCGAAAGCGUGGGUAGCGAACGGGAUUAGAAACCCCGGUAGUCCACGCUGUAAACGAUGUACAUUAGGCGUUCGCAUGCGUUCAGUAUGUGAGUGUCGAAGCUAACGCGAUAAAUGUACCGCCUGGGGAGUACGGUCGCAAGGCUAAAACUCAAAGGAAUUGACGG